CGAAACUCACCGAGUCAAAGCGUUUUCCCGUUUGCGGAAGAAGGCUGAUGUGGAACAAGUAGUUGAAGUAUACAUGCUCUUGAGUGAUCAACCGAAAUUCAAAGACAACUGAAAUUCGGCAACCGGGCAUCGAAGUCGGAAUGCCAGGAAACUCACCGAGUCAAAGCGUUUCGCUGUUAGCGGAAGAAGUCUAAAUUGGAACAAGUACCAGAAGCAAACAUGCUCAAGAGCGAUCACCCGAAAUUCAAAGGCAACUCAAUUUCGGCAAACAGGGCAUCGAAGUCGGAAUGGCGUGAAACUCACUGAUUCAAAGCGUUUCGCCGUUUGCGGAAGAAGUUUGAUGUGGAACAAGUACCAGAAGCAUACAUGCUCAAGAGGGAUCACCCGAAAUUCAAAGGCAACUCAAUUUCGGCAAACGGGGCAUCGAAGUUGGAAUGCAGCGAAACUCACCGAUUCAAAGCGUUUCGUCGUUUGCGGAAGAAGUUUGAUGUGGAACAAGUACCGGAAGCAUACAUGCUCAAGGGGCAUCACCCGAAAUUCAAAGGCAAUUGAAUUUCAGCAACCAGGGCAUCGAAGUCGGAAUGUCGCGAAACUCACCGAGUCAAGCGUUUCGCCGUUUGCGGAAGAAGUUUGAUGUGGAACAAGUACCAGAAGCAUACAUGCUCAAGAGGCAUCACCCGAAAUUCAAAGGCAACUGAAU
Molecule: long non-coding RNA, 700 nt
Filed under: Populus tremula
Lineage: Eukaryota; Viridiplantae; Streptophyta; Magnoliopsida; Malpighiales; Salicaceae
Description: long non-coding RNA (PTRE_LNC003091)
Source: RNAcentral